RNAcentral lists this ribosomal RNA (429 nucleotides) under Chloroflexota bacterium. RNAcentral describes it as "Chloroflexi bacterium partial 16S ribosomal RNA". It matches the Rfam family "Bacterial small subunit ribosomal RNA", at positions 355 to 776 of the family's 1533-position model. Lineage: Bacteria; Bacillati; Chloroflexota. The record is from RNAcentral.
UGGGGAAUAUUGCACAAUGGGCGCAAGCCUGAUGCAGCCAUGCCGCGUGUGUGAAGAAGGCCUUCGGGUUGUAAAGCACUUUCAGCGGGGAGGAAGGCGUUAAGGUUAAUAACCUUGGCGAUUGACGUUACCCGCAGAAGAAGCACCGGCUAACUCCGUGCCAGCAGCCGCGGUAAUACGGAGGGUGCAAGCGUUAAUCGGAAUUACUGGGCGUAAAGCGCACGCAGGCGGUUUGUUAAGCCAGAUGUGAAAUCCCCGGGCUCAACCUGGGAACUGCAUCUGAUACUGGCAAGCUUGAGUCUCGUAGAGGGGGGUAGAAUUCCAGGUGUAGCGGUGAAAUGCGUAGAGAUCUGGAGGAAUACCGGUGGCGAAGGCGGCCCCCUGGACGAAGACUGACGCUCAGGUGCGAAAGCGUGGGGAGCAAACAGG